This 5863-nucleotide long non-coding RNA is filed under the name Theobroma cacao (cacao). RNAcentral's name for it is "long non-coding RNA (TCAC_LNC000177)". The record is from RNAcentral. Lineage: Eukaryota; Viridiplantae; Streptophyta; Magnoliopsida; Malvales; Malvaceae.
UAAAAGACUAUCUGUUAUUGUAUAAUUUUGCAAUUGUACUCCCCUUAUCUUUUGCACUAACUGGAUUUUGUUUUGGCCAAGAACAAAGAGAAAUUUAUUUCAAACAAGUUCAGUAUAAGAACCAGACAAAGAAACUUUAAGUUGUAACCAUUCUGAGUAACACCAAAAACAAGUCACUGAACAUGGGGCGAGGGUAGACCGUCCUUAUUCAAGAUAUGAACACCAUAGAGGAUACAGGUAGAUUGACCCAAUCAUCAGAGCACAUCCCCUUACUGGACUGCUUAGCACCCCAAUCAGCUACUAAAUUAGUAGCCCGCUAAAUAAUACACAAUCAAGAAUCUUAUGAGAGCAAUCUUCCGACCUCCACAGCUAUUUGACAUCAUGUACAAAAAUCACACUAGUAAAUUUCUCUUUGACAUCCAGCAAGGCCCCUCCUUCAGAGCCAAAACUACUUCCGCAACCAUUGCACAACCUGCUUCAACUGAUUUGACUACACCAGCCACUACCUGCCCUUUUUCAUCUCUAGCUAUAACUCCAGCAGUUUGCCUUACAGGUUGAACCCUCGAAAACACCAUCACAAUUAACUUGUAUCCAUUCUUGCUCAAGAAGAUACCAUUUAUCCCCAAGACAACUUUUAUUGUCUUUAGAAAACUUAGUAUUAGACACAACUGAUUGAAUAAAACCUUCUAGUAGAAACUUGUAUAGAGAACAGCAGGUCGGGGUCUAAAAGGGAGAAGGCUUAAGAAGACAGAUGAUGCGCACCGUUUCAAUAAAUGCCUUCCACAAACAGCAACAAAGUGCACCGUUUCAUUAAUAGAAUUUUAAAGUUUAAAAGUUAGUUAAAGUUUAAUUAUUAGUUAGAUUAGUUACAGUUAUUCUUUAUCUUUCCUCUGGUCAACAGAGACCCUGUAUAUAAAUAUAAUUAUAAAGUAACUUUUCUAUAAUGAGAAUUUCUUCAUAUUCUCUCAUUCCCAUGCGCCGCCUUUUCCUCUCUUUCUCUCUCGGUAUUCGUCAUGGUAUCAGAGCAGGUACAGAGUCCUAAGAGUGAUUGUUUUCUUUUGAUCACCAGACGACUCGUUCUUAUCAUUUUCUGGUUAUACCUUUUCCUUCUCAGUAAGUUUAUCUUCCUAUUACUGAUUUCUGGAUUACACUGUUCUUUCAUCUGGUGCUUGAUUAACCAUGUCUGAUGAAUCUGAAUCAACUCAAUCAAGGUCUCAGACCUCAUCACAAAUUUCACCUAUUGGAGACCCGCAGUCUCCAUAUUAUCUUCACCAUUCAGAUCACCCUCAUUCAGUCAUUAUCAAUCCCAAACGUACCACCAACAACUAUGUGGCAUGGAGUAGAUCUUUCUUAUUGGCCUUUUCGAUCAGGAACAAGACUGGUUUCAUCAAUGGGUCUAUUCCUAAACCAGCCACCACAGACCCUCUGUAUCCUGUUUGGACACGUUGUAACAACCUAAUAGUUGUCUAGCUCUUAGACUCAGUUUCACCCCCAAUAGCCUUUACCAUAUUCUACAUGGAUUCUACAAUGAAGAUGUGGAAUACCUUGAAACUUAACUAUGCUCAACUAGAUGACACAAGGCUGUGUAAUCUGCAGUAUACCUUGGGGAAUAUUACCCAAGGAACAAGAUCAGUGGACUCAUACUUCAUUGAGUUGAAGGCGGUUCGGGAAGAGAUAAGGAGUUAUCGUCCCCUGCCACAUUGUGAAUGUGGAAGAUGCAAUGCAGACUGUUUUAAAAAGGUAUAUUGAUCAAUAUCACAAAGACAUGGUGUUUAGGUUUCUCAACGGACUGAAUGAAUCCUUCUCAGCAAUACGAUCUCAGAUCAUACUCAUAGACCCAAUUCCAACCCUUGAUAGAGUUUAUAAUUUUAUGUUGAGAGACGAAACACAGAAAAACUUAUUAUUUCAAUCACAGCCUGUUUUUGAGUCCUCUACAAUGCUCACCACAACAGAUUCAAAGAAGAAACUGAAAAAGGAUCUUGUCUGCAGCCACUGUGGGAAGAAAGGGCACAACAAAGAAAAAUGUUACAAACUUAUAGGCUUUCCAGAUGAUUUUAAAUUUACAAAGGGAAAGGCCAAUAUCAAAAAGGGUAAAACAGCAGUCAACAAUGUUACAGCAUCUAAUGAAAUCUCAGUUGAUGAAUUCCAAGCAGAGUAAGAAGAAGAACUCAGUGGUUCAAGCAACAUAUCCCAAAUGUCUAUCCUAACACAACAAGUCAACAAGCUUAUGGAAAUUCUCAAUGAAAAUGGUUUAAUUAGUAGUGAUGGUAAGGGCAUUUCCUCGAACAGCCAACAGGGAAAACAAUCAUUGGUAAACUUAGCUUUCUUAGGUAUCAUUUCAGGCCAUCAUUGUUUCAAUACCACUAACAACAUGCCUUCUAGCUUUAGAAAUACAAAUAUCUACAUGAUAAAACAAAAUUACUGGAUAGUAGACUCAGGUGCAACUGAUCAUAUCUCACAUUCCUUAGAUGACUCUAUCUAUGCAAAACCAGUUAAGGAUUGUUUUGUCCAUCUCCCAACCAACAAAAGGGCAGUUGUUAGUCAUAUAGGUGCAGUUAAAUUGACCUCAUCAUUCAUUCUAAAGAACUUGUUGUGUGUUCCGAGCUUCAAAUUCAACUUAAUUUCUGUGAGUCAGUUGACCAAUUCAAAAAGGAUCAAUGUUCUUUUCACUGACAUGUACUGUAUUGUCCAAGAUAUUCCCUCAUGGAAAGUGAUUGGGGUUACUAAGGGCUCAUCAGGAUUAUACCUCAUGGAGUUUAAGAAAGGAGUUCAAGAUUUAUCAAAUUACUGUUUUGACAGAAUUGUUAAGUUUCCUGUUAUUUCUUUUGUUAGUAACUAGAAUGCAGUGAAUAGAACCUUUGAUUUAUGGCAUUUCAGACUUGGUCAUGCUCCUAUAGAAAGGAUCAAUGUAAUCCACCAGCAAUUUCUAAGUGUUAAAAGUUCAAAUGAAUUAUUCUGUGAAGUCUGCCUAUUGGCAAAACAAAGAAAGCUUCCCUUUCCAAUUCACUCUCAAAGCACAAAAACUUUUUUUAAACUAAUUCAUGUGGACAUUUGAGGUCCAUAUGAGACUCCCACUUUAAAUGGUCAUCGUUUCUUUCUUACCAUUGUAAAUGAUUUUUCUCGUUUUACUUGGAUUUUCUAAUGAGGAAUAAGUCAGAAGUUUCAACAAUUAUACCUUCUUUUAAUGCUAUGGUUCAAAAGGCAAUUUAAUCUUGAAAUCAAGUGUUUAAGGUCAGAUAAUGGCCAAGAAUUUAAACUUACAGAUUUCUUUGCCAAAACAGGUAUAAUCCACCAUUUGUCAUGUGUUGUUACCCCUCAACAAAAUGGAAUUGUUGAGAGGAAACAUCAACACAUCCUAAUGGUUGCAAGAGCCCUGAAGCAUCAGUCUAAGGUUCCAGUACACUUCUGGGGGGAUGCAGUGCUCACUGCAGUACAUAUUAUCAAUAGGGUACCUACUAAAAUUUCAAGAAUAAGUCACCAAAUGAGCUGUUUUAUCUUAAACCACCAACAUAUGAUCAUUUUAAGGUUUUUGGAUGCCUGUGUUUUGUAUCCACACUGGCACAGAAUAGGAAAAAGUUAGAUAAAAGAGCUACCAAAUGUAUAUUCCUAGGAUAUCCUAAUGGCAUCAAAGGGUAUAGGGUAUAUGAUCUUUGUGCACAAAAGACUCUAAUAUCCAGAAAUGUUGUUUUUCAUGAGGAUAUUUUUCCUUUUCAUUCAUCACAACAUGAUACAUCUCAUCGUGCAUUUGAUCAAAAACUUGGUGUACAUGCUGAUUAUUUUGACUAUUUUGAUUCUAAUUCAUCUCAUUAUCCUCAUCCAGUCCAAGAGCCAAUAGAAACACAUUUGUUUGAAACUAUAUCAGAGAUACCAGAAACUUCCACUUCUAAUGUAGAUGAAUUACGUAUUAAUUCAUUACCUGACAGUGAACCUGCAGCCAGCAAUAUCAAUUCACUUGAGCCUGACACAACAAUUGACACAGCACAACCAAUUAGAAAGAGUGCCAGACUUAAACAUACUCCCAAAUACUUGGAAGAAUAUUAUACAAACGUACCAUCUCAUUCAAAUACAGCCACUGCACAUCCAAUUACCAAAUACUUAUCUUGUGACAAACUAUCACCUGCACAGAGAAUCUUUACUGCUUCAUUGUCAUCUGUUCAUGAGCCAAGCUCUUACCAUCAAGCUAUUAAUUAUCCUCAUUGGAGAGAUGCUAUGGCUGUUAAGUUGAAGGCCUUGGAAGACAAUGGUACUUGGAGCAUUGUUCCACUGCCUUCUAAUUGUCAUGCUGUGGGUUGUAAAUGGAUAUACAAGGUGAAAGUAAAUGCUGCAAGGGAAGUUAAAAGGUACAAAGCACAACUGAUGGCAAAAGGGUUCAGUCAAAUUGUGGGCUUUGAUUAUCAAGAGACUUUUAGUCUUGUAGCAAAACAGACAAUAGUAAAGGUUUUCUUUGCCUUAGCUACUGUAAACAAUUGGCACCUAUCACAACUUGAUAUCAACAAUGCUUUUCUAAAUAGGGAACUAGAAGAGGAAGUUUACAUGGAACUACCACAAGGGUAUUCUGUCUAGAGGGAAUAUCAAACAAGUCCAAAAUUAGUCUGCAAGCUUCAUAAGUCCAUAUAUGGACUCAAACAAGCAUCUAGACAAUGGAAUGCUAAACUUACUGCUUCUAUCCUACAGUUUGGUUUCACACAAUCAACAUCAGACUAUUCAUUAUUUACAAUGAAAACAAACAGUGGGGACUUUGUGGCAAUUUUAGUCUAUGCUGAUGAUAUUUUGAUAGGGAGUAACUCAGCUCAGAUAGCAUCUAAUGUCAAAGGAUUUUUUAGUUCACAAUUUAAACUCAAAGAUCUUGGUAAAGUUAAAUUUUUCUUGGGGCUUGAAAUUGCUCAAUCUCCAGAAGGCAUAUCCAUAUGCCAAAGAAAAUACAUCCUGGACCUUUUAGAAGAGCAUGGCCUGCUUGGAUCAAAACCUGUAAGUACUCCCAUUGACUAUAAUUAUAAAUUGAGCAAGACCAAAGAUGGGCAAGAAUUGCAUGAUGCUACCAAAUACAAGCAACUGGUUGGUAAAUUGUUGUAUUUAACCUUUACUAGACCGGACAUCUCCUAUGCAGUGCAAGUUUUGUCCCAGUUCAUGGACAAACCUAGCAAUGAACAUUUCAUGGCAGCUUACAGAGUCAUAAGAUAUCUUAAAAGGGCACUAAGCCAAGGCAUUCUAAUGAAGUCAAAGUCUAACAUGAAAAUUUCAGCCUACUCUGACAGUGAUUGGGCAGGAUGCCCUGACUUGCGAAAAUCAAUCACAGGCUUUAGUCUUUUCAUUGGUGAUUCUCUUGUAAGUUGGAAAUCAAAUAAGCAAACUGUAGUGGCUAGAAGUUCAGUAGAAGCAGAAUACAGGUCUAUGGCUUCUACCUGUUGUGAAAUUAUUUGGUUGCAAUACCUUUUGGCAAAUUUUAGAAUCUCUCACAAGGAAGCAAUAAGUCUCUUCUUUGACAGUCAAUCUGCAAUAUACAUUAGUAAGAAUCCAGUAUUUCACGAGAGGACAACGCACAUAGGAAUGGAUUGCCACUUCCUCCGUGAAAAGGUGUUGGCUGGGAUAAUAAAGCCCAUACAUAUUUCAACUCAAUCACAGAUAGCAAAUAUCUUCACCAAAGCCCUGUAGCCAAGACAGUUCUACAAGUUGUAGGGCAAGAUGAGUGUUCAUAAUAUUCACUCCUCCUCUUGAGAGGGAGUAUUAGACACAACUGAUUGAAUAAAACUUGCUAGUAGAAACUUGUACAGAGAACAACAGGUCGGGUUUGAAGGGGAGAAGGCUUAAGAAGACAGAUAAUGCGCACCGUUUCAAAAAAUGCCUUCCACAAACAGCAACAAAG